GUUGUCUCCAUCAUAUACUAAAGCUGAGCCAUGUUAAAUCUGUUAAAACCUGAGGCAGUUUUAAGCUCUGAGUCACAGGAUGAAUAAAAGAAACAUGAUAAAUCAGACUUUUAGAAGAUGGCGGGUCGAUCAGCAGCUUUUUGUUCCCUGCCAAAUUUACAUUUUAGAGAGGUAAUACCUCGUUCUGAGUCGAGGAGCUUUGGAGAUUUAUUCAUUUUUGUCUCGGCCCACAUUUUAUUGACAGCCAGCACGAAACCAAGCACAGGAUUCAUUUUGUUCAACCGGCGUGUGACCUUUUGUGGUUUAAAUUAAGCCUGUGAAUAAGUAUGCUUCUUUUACAGACCCGUCCAGGCUUUUCUUUCGACCAGGCAAUUUAAAGUUACCGACCCAACACUUAAAUUGUAUCUGUCUCAAAAAAAGGAGCCAUAUUGAAAAAAAGGAUUUUAUUACCAUCCACUGCUGAAAGGAACAGACUCAAAAGUCAGAAAGAAAACUUGUGUUUACCGUGGAGGAUAUGUGGAAUCGCGGGGAUGGAGUGCAAAACACUGUCAAGGUUUUGGAUCAACGCGAGCAAUUUCAAGUGGCAUUAUUGUCAAGGUACAGUGUUCUUUUUCAUGACUGUGUUCCAUGUGAGAAUCAGUAAGAUUACUGCGGUAAAAAGUGGUGUGAUGUGAACGCAACCAGGGGAGGGAAGUAUCGGUGCCAAUCAUUUAGGGAAACCUACCAG
Molecule: long non-coding RNA, 727 nt
Organism: Gasterosteus aculeatus aculeatus (three-spined stickleback)
Lineage: Eukaryota; Metazoa; Chordata; Actinopteri; Perciformes; Gasterosteidae
Source: Ensembl